RNAcentral lists this transfer RNA (75 nucleotides) under Deltaproteobacteria bacterium. RNAcentral describes it as "tRNA-Gln". It matches the Rfam family "tRNA". Rfam says of the family: Transfer RNA (tRNA) molecules are approximately 80 nucleotides in length. Their secondary structure includes four short double-helical elements and three loops (D, anti-codon, and T loops). Lineage: Bacteria; Pseudomonadati; Myxococcota; Myxococcia. The record is from RNAcentral.
UGGGGUGUCGCCAAGCGGUAAGGCACGGGCCUUUGGAGCCCGCAUUCGGGGGUUCGAAUCCCUCCACCCCAGCCU